This 205-nucleotide long non-coding RNA is filed under the name Elaeis guineensis (African oil palm). Its description in RNAcentral is "long non-coding RNA (EGUI_LNC059892)". The record is from RNAcentral. Lineage: Eukaryota; Viridiplantae; Streptophyta; Magnoliopsida; Arecales; Arecaceae.
GAAUAUCCUGCACAGGCUUCCACCUAACAAUGGACCUGCUAUGAAGAUCAGGUGGCAGACCUUUUAAAACAUCUGCUAUAGCCAUCUCAUUCUUCUUUUUUAAUUCAUCAAUUUCUUUCUGCUGCUGGACCAACAAAUUCUCUAACUUCUGCAGACCAGAUAUCACAUUCUUAGACUCACCCUCCAUUAAUAAUGUAUCCGGCAA